GACGAACGCUGGCGGCGUGCUUAACACAUGCAAGUCGAACGGAAAGGCCUCUUUCGGGGGGUACUCGAGUGGCGAACGGGUGAGCAACACGUGAGUAACCUGCCCUUGACUUUGGGAUAACUUCAGGAAACUGGGGCUAAUACCGGAUAGGAGCUCCUGCUGCAUGGUGGGGGUUGGAAAGUUUCGGCGGUUGGGGAUGGACUCGCGGCUUAUCAGCUUGUUGGUGGGGUAGUGGCUUACCAAGGCUUUGACGGGUAGCCGGCCUGAGAGGGUGACCGGCCACAUUGGGACUGAGAUACGGCCCAGACUCCUACGGGAGGCAGCAGUGGGGAAUAUUGCACAAUGGGUGGAAGCCUGAUGCAGCAACGCCGGGUGCGGGAUGACGGCCUUCGGGUUGUAAACCGCUUUCGCUCAUGACGAAGCUUUGUGUGACGGUAGUGGGUAAAGAAGCACCGGCUAACUACGUG
This 467-nucleotide ribosomal RNA is filed under the name uncultured bacterium. RNAcentral's name for it is "partial 16S ribosomal RNA". It matches the Rfam family "Bacterial small subunit ribosomal RNA", at positions 28 to 507 of the family's 1533-position model. The record is from RNAcentral.